AUUCUGGCUGGGAUUUCAGUUAGAUCUCUCUCAGCCUUGAGAAGCCUAGGAGGAGUUUUACUACAAUAGGAAAUCUUCAUAUAUAGACAUCUGUGCUCUUAGAAACAGCCUAGCUAAAUCUGGAGAGGCUCAUCACCUGGCUGGUGACAGAGGGAUGCAUUUUUUGGCCAUGGAAAUGGAAGAAAAUUAUCUGCUACGUUAUAGAGGAGAUUAUAAUUUAUUUCAGAGAGAGACCACCCAGAUCAAUGAACUUACCCACCAUUGAAGUAAUCAAAUUUUCUUUACUCGGUUCUGUCAUGUUUGAAAGAGGAGGAAACUGAGGCACAAAGCUGUUAAAUGACUUGCCCAAGGUAACACAGUAAAUUUGGAAUUAAAUUCAGGUCUUCCUGUGCCACAGAAUCAUCUCUAGAAGGCAAAGAUGGUAGUUCAUUUAAUGCCUCAUCUAAGGAAUUAAAAAAACCAAAGAUCUUGGAGCAAUGACAUUUUUGUUUGAUAUGUGAAUUACAGAACUGACAUACAAAAUAAGGGACAAAAUCACAGACUUAAGGCUGGAAGGAAAACUGGCUGUCCCUGGGUCCAACUACCUCAUUUUAAAGAUGAAGAAAAUGAAAGUCAAAGGUUAAGUGAUUUAUUGAAAAUCAUAUGAGUAAUUAGUUUAAGCCCAAAUCCUCUUACUAAAAACCUGAUGCUUCUCUCUACUACACCAUGAAGUUUUUCUGUCUCUCAAAGCAAAUCAAUAGUUUCUCCAUUUUACUGUUGCUUGGUCCAAUAAUGAUUAAUGGCAGUUUUUCUGGUAAAUAGUAGGAAAAACUCAAUGACUACUGAAAUAUGUACUUGUAGGAGAAAAAAGAUAGAAUCUCUUAAAUUCAACUGAAACUAGUUUCUUUCUGCAAACAAUGUGAUUAGCCAAAUAGAAAUACUUGCAAAAAUAAUUCAUUAGCAUAAUCACAACUUAUGCUAUAGUCCACUAGCUGAUUAAACUUUUAUAUGUUCUAAUUAUGGUAAUUUACAAAUACCCAGAAGCCAAAAAUUAUAGAUAAAUUAUAUUAAUUUUAAAGGGUGGUAAAUUAUGUAAAGAGUGACGAUAACUCAGAAACUAUAACAACAAAAUAAUAAUUCAUAUUUAUACAGCAUGUUACAGUCACAAAACGUUUUGCAUAGCACAGUGUGAUCCCAUAGAAGUCUCAACUCCUCCAAAUCUUAGUUCCUCAUCUCUCCAACAAAGGGCUUGGAUCAAAUGAUCUCUGAAGUUGCAUUCUAUUCAUAAUGAUUAAUAUGUGAACCAUCAUUUGAUUCUUUUUAAUGACUGAAGUAGAUAAUAUUAUUUUCUCCAUUUAAUAGAGGAGGAAAUGGGCUUUAUCAAGGUUAAUAGAUUUAGGAUAGCAGAUUUAUAAAUGGAAGAACAUAUAUAAUAACCAAUUAUUGAGCACCCCUCCAUGUGACAGGCACUGUACUAAGGGCUAGAGACACAAAAAAGGGCAAAAGACAGUCCCUGCCUUCAAAGAGCUCAUAAUUGAAUAGAGAGAGGAAAAGUCAUUGGUCACUUGACUAUUGUAUAAAUGGCAAAACUGAGGCUUAUGGAGGGGAAUAAGUUGCCCAACAUCAUUGUGAUAGUGAGUAGUAGAGCGUAGAUUUGAACCUAUAGAGGCCAGUUCAAAAUAAGUUAAAUGCCACAAGACAACAGUUCCAGUUCUAGGGAAAUUGGGAAGAAGAAGAGCUAAGAAAUAUGAGAGGGAACUGAAGAUGAUUCUUUUUCCUUAACUCUACUAGUACCUCUGUGGGAUGCUUUUGAUUAAACAUGACUACUACAUUAUAGAAUACAAUCAUAUAGUGCUUUUCAUUCUCGAGAUGUAUAAAAUGUUAGCUUUGAGUAGGUCAUUCAACCUAAAUCAAAAUAAAUGUCAUUGUCAUAUGACAUGUGACAUGACAAAUGACAUUGAGGCUCAUCUGACUCUUUGCAGCCCCAUUAGGGGUUUUCUUGGAAAAGAUACUGGAAGUAGUUUUCUAUUUCCUCUGUAGCUCAUUUUAUAGGUGAGGAAACUAAGGCAAACAGGAUUAAGAGAGUCACACAACUAGUAAAUAUGUUAGGUUGGAUUUGAACUCAGGAAGAUGAAUCUUCCUGACUCUAGGCCUGGCACUCUACCUAUUAUUCCACCUAGCUUCUCCCUAAUUAAUGUUAAUGAUGAAUAAUUAGAAAUUAUAAAUCCAUUAUGAUCCCUGAUUUAUUUAAAAAGAAAAUGAAGAUCCAGUUUUGAAUCUAAAAGAAAAUACCAAUUGAUGAAAAGGUUAAAAAUGACAUUGACAUUUCUUUGCCAUCUGGCAAUAACAACAAAUUCUGGCAGCAAGUUCAGAGACAAUUAAUAUGUUUUAAAAUGAGAUUCAUAGACUUUCUAUUAAUAACAGAACACCCAGGUGCAUGAACAAAUAGAGUUUAUGGCAGCCAAAUCAGGCAAUGCUGAAUAUGGGGUGUCUAAUAUGCAUUAAUUUUAUUUGAAAAUAAUUUUCAAAAAGUUCAGGAAAAAAGACAUGUAUAAUUUCAUGGCUUGAGAUGCUAAAAGGGAAAGUGUUUGGCUUAGGAAGGAAGAAUGAGUUUUGAGAUAAAACUCUAUAUAGUCACAGAUGAUUUUGAUUAGAAAGAAAUGGGGAACCACAUAAAAGAAUGCUUAAAAUCACAAAUAAUAAGAAAAAUGCCAAUCAAAACAGUUCUAAGGCUUGACCUCACACUCUGCAAAUUAACAAAGAUUUCAAAAAUUGGAUAUGGUCAAUGUGGGAGGAAUUAUGGAAAGAAAGGCACACUGCUGCAUUCAUUGUUGGUGAAGCUAUGAAUCAGUACAGCCAUUUUGGGAAACAAUUGGGAAUUUUACAAUUAAAAUGACUAAAAUAACCAAGAUUCUAUUACUCAGAAGAAUGUUCUUGUAUACACCAAAAUUAUGAUAGCAGCCCUUUUAUGAUCACAAAAUUUGGGAUAAAAGUAGAUGUCCAUUAGUUGGGUACUUAAACAAAAUGUACUAUAUAACUGCAUUGUCACAUUGCUGAGUUGCAAGAAAUUAUGAAUGGAAGAAUAGAGAAGCUUGGAAAGAUCUACCCAGAUUGAUCCAGAUCAAAGUAAACAAAGCUGAAGAAAGCAAUUUAAAUAAUGACUACAACAAGGUAAACAUGAUCAACACACACACACACAAAAUCAAAAGUGUAUUUUGUAAAACUGUAAAGAAUAAGUAUAGCCUGAAAGAAGAGCUAUGGAAAGACAUUCCUACCCUACCUCAGUGGGAAAUUUACAAGUACUGCACAUAUUUUUGAACUUUUUAAUGUAUUUCAUUAAUUUUUCUUAUUUUUACUUUUUCUUCAAGUUUUUACAAAUGUUAUUUCACAAUAUGUGAUAACUCUCUGGUAGAGGUAGAGGAAAACUGCUGAGGAAAACUACAGUGAUAUAAAAAUUAAUAAAAACUAAUUUAAAAAGAAGUAAACUCAGGAGAAAAAAGAAAUAGGGGAUAUCUCAAGACCCCAAUGGGACCACGGAAGAAAUUCUUCAAUGAGCUUAGAUUUUAAAGGGGUAGGUUCAAAUAUGCAACCAAGACAUAAAACAAUUUCCCUGAAAGCAAGGAAAAUUUAUUUUUUUUUUGUCUGUAUUCCCAGCAUGAUGCCUAGCACAUCAUCACAAUAAAUACAUGCUUGUGGAACUCUCCAGAAAUAUUGUAACAAUACCAAAUUAAUUAAUAAUGUUUCUAAUGCCAAGGAAACAGGAGUGAAUAAACUUCAAGAAAUCUCAUUUUAUUAUUUUCUAAGAACUCAUCAACUACUUGGCAUGGAAUCCUUUGCUUGCUAGGAGAGUUUAGUCACAAUCUGACAAGAUAGACAUACAUGAAGACAAGGUAAAAUAAUGGAGUUUUUUUUUAAUACAAGGAGAUUGGCAACUUGUUUUACUUGAAGGAGAUGUCACUGGAGAAUAUAUAACAGGUAAGCUAGCAGAAAGAAAAAAAUGAAAUUUAUACAAAUAUAAAAAUUAGGUAGUAGGAAGAAAAUAAUCAUAUUUAUGAGGUCAAUGAUGUUUUGGGCAAUGCGUGAAGCUUCUUUUUCCUUCCACAAAUAUUAUCUCAUUUGAUUCUCACAACAACCUUGCAAGUUAGGGGCUAUUAUUAACUGUUUUUUAUUGUCACAGAAACAAAAGCAAGCAUAGAUUAAGUGACUUGCCCAGGAUCACACAGCUACUAAGUGUCUGAGACUAUAUUUAAACCCAGAUCUUCCUGAUUCCAAUUCCAGCACUCUAUCCACUGUGCCAUCAGCUUCCUAAUAGAACAAGAAGAGAAUGGUAUAUAAUAUAUAAACAGAGAAGUAUAAUUAGAGCACUGUGGAGUUUGGAAAUAAUUAAUGCAUCCUUUUUUUUUUAACCCUUACCUUCUGUCUUAGAAUCAAUACUGUGUAUUAGCUCAAGGCAUCAGAGCCUUAAAGGCUAGGCAAUGAGGGUUAAGUGACUGGCUCAGGGUCACACAGCUAGGAUAUGUCUGAGGCCAGAUUUUAACCGAAGUCCUCCUUCUCCAUGCCUGGCUCCCAGUCCAUUGAGUCACUUGGUAUUUAAGUCAGGAUGCUCAAUGCUUGAUAUAUACAAAGUUUCAUUUUCUUUGGAGGAGGAGGCACUAAGCAGAGAAGAAAGAUCGGCUUCCCAUGUGAGUAUUUUAAAAAAUGGCAAAUUCAUGGAGAUAGUCACAUGCAUUUUUAAAGACAAAAGAAGAUGCUCAAGAAGAAUGAAGUAUCCUCAAAUAAAAAUCAUAUUCCCAAGAGAAUUAAUCUUCUUCCAAUGGCUAUUUCUUAUUAGGACAAAAGGUUAAGGAGAGCCAGCAUCAGUUUCCUAGAGCUGGUUCUUAAGGCCAGAAUUAUGCUUUGGUAAAUGAACCCCUCUUGGUUUUCCUUUAUAGUACUGUGGUCUCCCAAUUGCCUUAACCAUUUAAAGUUAUUGAGAUUCUGAUUCUUGGAUGUUUGCUUUGUAUACUAGUAUAGAGUUAAUGUUCUUGGAACUAGCCUGAAGGGUUUCUAAACUAGUGAGUUUCCAUGGUAACAGACUGAAUUAAUGAGUGAAAUCAUUUCACACAUUCCCAGUAACCCAGUGACCAAGGAAUAGGUAAAAAAAAAAAUGCUCCAAGUUAGGUUUGGGUUUUUUAGAAUCUUCCCAUUCAACAUUUAUUACAUAAGACUAUUGUACAUCAUUACAGUUGAUUUUUAAAUGUUCUUUUGCAAUGGCAUCAGCAUUUAUUCUGGGGAAUAAUAAGUGAACAGUUAUGUAUUUAUUUUUUGAUGUUCUCUAGGCUCCCUGACUCAUCCUUAUUUUUCCGCCCUAUUAUCACAUUCAUAUGCCUAAUCUGUUUUAGCAGUGGAAUGGUAUCUAAAGUAAGACAUCCACAGAUUACAUCUUAAUUCCAUUCUAAGAGCUAUACCAGAUGAGAAUACAAUGUGGCAAUCUGGAAUCCUUGGCUAAAAAAAAAAAUCAACAGAAUUUGGAAUGGUAAGGCUCUUUAAUGAAUGCUCUUCAACAAAGCCAGUAAAAUGACUCUGCCUUGUAAAAAGCAGGCACUUAAGAAAUGCUUGGAUGAGAUAGUAUUUUAAAAUGAACUCAUGCCCACAUGGGCAAGCUUUUUAUUAUGCUAAAUGAAGGAGCUUAAACUAUAACUGGAGCACUUAGGGGGAAAAAAAACAAACAAAACCAACUUUUAGACUGAGGAGAACUGAGUGUGAUGUAGGAAAAAGAGAGGUGAAUUUGGAACCAGAGGGCCUGGAUUUGAAUCCUGUCUCUGCUGCCUAACACUUCUUCCUUAUACCAGCCAGUCCAUCUUCCAUCUUGAUGCCUUUGCGUUAAUUGUUUCUAUUAUCUAGAAUUCCUUCCCUUUUCUCAUCUGCCUCCUGGAAAUCCCCAGGUGACCUUUAAGAUUCAGUUUAAAUGCAAUAUUUUAUAUAAAUCUUUUCUUUGUUGCCUGGGGCUGCUUAUAUCAUAUAUACUUAUAAAAUAAAUUUGUGUAAUAAUAUAAAAUUAAUAAAUAUGCAAAUAAUAUUUUCAAUGUCUUAUGUGUUUUUUUCAUUUUUCAGUUGUGUCUGACUUUUCCUAAACCCAUUUGGAGUUUUCUAGGCAAAAAGUGUGGUGACUUGCCAUUUUCUUCUCAAGGUCAUUUGACAGAAGAGAACUGAGGCAAAUAGGGUUAAAGGUCAUAAAUCAAGAAAAUAUCUUGGGCCAGAUUUGGACUCAGGUAAUAGUACUCUAUCCAGUGCAUUACCUAGCUGCCUAUCUCAUACAUACGUACAUACACACAUACACACACAUACACAUACUCAUUUAUCCCUUCCACAGCCCAACUUUCCCCAUUGCAUUUUUGCUAUAUUUUGUAUUUUCACAGUAUUGCAAAUGACACAUAAGAAGUUAGAAACUCAGGAAUAUAUAAAAUGUAUGCAUACUUUGAUAACAACAAAUUUUAUCUUUAAUACCAUAAAUAUACACAAUUUCCUUUUUAAUGUUAAAAUAAGUCAAAAGUUAAAGUUUGUGAAAAAAACAGCAAAGAUAGAUGACACACAAAGACUAGAAAUGUAGAGAUAUAGUAAAAAGUUUAGUAAUGUAUAAAUGCCUAUAAGGUACUAUAAAUACCCCAUAAAAGAAAAAGAAAAAAAAAUCAGACUUCUUAUGUGGUAUGAAGGAAGGGACAAAAAAUUUUUCUCAGAAUUUCCAGAUGGCUGGGUACCAUGCUCCUAAUCCACAGAUUUGAAGGGAUACCUAUAUUCUGAAUAUACUUAUAUAUUAUGCAGGCUCCUUUAUCACCAGAUAUUACUUUGCUUUGGUCUUUACCUCCCCAGAUCUUACUCUUAUGUCUGAGGCUGACUAAGUGGUAGAUAAAAGGUUUAUUGAUUAGUAUUUGAUUGAUUGACAAGUCAGAGUUUCUAAGUCUCAGGUUCCUCAUCAGUAAAAUGAAGGGCCAUUAGCUGGAUAGCGGAUGGAAGGAAUCUUGGGCCAGUUGGUCCAAACCUUUCAUUUUACAGCUAAGGCCCAGAGAAGUUCACUGACUUGGGGAGCCAGUGAGAGUCUUUAGGAAAAUAUUAAAAAUAUUGGAGCUAGAUCUAUGCUGUUAUGAUGGCACUAAUGAAGGGUAUGAAUGGGUUUUCUUUAAGGAUUUUAAAGGGAAAAGGACUUAUUUAUUCUUAUGGUUUUAAGCUACAACCAUACCCAGAGUUAUGAGAAUUACUUCUCUUGUUGUCACAUUUUUUUGAAGCUUCAUUAAAUUUCCACCAUUAGGGGACUAUUUGGUGAACUAGAAGUAUAGCAUUUACUAAACCAUCUUAGGUAGGACCUAAGAAUGCUAAGACACAUCUGUAAAGUCGACAAGUCUAGUCUGCUCACUUGCAACAUUGAGCCUGUGACAGCUAUUUCAAGAAAGCUAAUUAUUUCAUUUUAAAUUAGUCUUCCAACUAUAAUGAGUCUUGUGGGAAAAUAUACAAGUUAAUCUUCCUCUGUGACAAAAUAAAACUCUAAUCUCAAUAGAACACUCAAAAAUGUGAUGAUAACUUCAGUAUGAUGAUGAUGAUGAUGAUGAUGAUGAUGAUGAUUAUAGCCAGUUGUGGUGGAUUCCCAAGAAUCAAGAACUCAAAUUCUAAGCAAUGAGAAAUCCAUGUUUUAUAUAACAAUAAUGUUGAUGCUAUCUAAUUAUAGUAGCAUUUGUAAAGCACUUUAAGUUUUACAAAGCACUUUAUAAAUAUCACCUCAUUUGAUCCUUAAAACAGUCCUGGGAGAUAGUUGCUUCAUUUUUUCCAUUAUACAGAGGAAGAAACUGAGACACAUAGAGGUUAAGUGACUUGCCUAUGGUCAUAUAGCUAAUAAAUACAUGAGAUCACAUUUGAAUUCAAAUUUUCCUGAAUCUAUGCCCAGCUUUCUAGCUAUUAUACCAUAUCUUUAAAGUAAAAAAAAUGUAUGUUCCCCCUAUAAUUCUAUGAACGGAACAGUAUAGCUGUUCACUUAUUAGAUGUCAAACAAAGAAUGACUAUGAGAGCCAAGAUGUGUCCUAGGGUCAUGUAAAUCCAGGUCUGGUUUCUUCUUCCUCCACUUACCACAGAACUCAGAACUUCUCAAAUGAAAUACUUAUUUUAGGUGGAUAUUGCAAAAAUGUAAAAUUCCCUAAAAUAUUAAAAUCUCAAAUAAUUCAUAAUCUAAAGGAACUCUACUAAUAACAAAUAAUUGUGCUUGUGCUAGAGAUCAAUUUUAUUCAAGCAGUUACCCAACUUACAGUUAUUAUGGCAAAAUAUUGUUUUUCUAAAAACUUCACCCAGUUGUCUACAAGUUUCUUAGAUUGUGACCACAAUUUUUCUCUUAUUUGGAGGAUUAAUUAGUUUACUAGAAUUAAGAACAU
Long non-coding RNA from Monodelphis domestica (gray short-tailed opossum), 8372 nucleotides. RefSeq lists it as uncharacterized. NCBI's taxonomy places the organism in Eukaryota, Metazoa, Chordata, Mammalia, Didelphimorphia, Didelphidae. The record is from RefSeq and is a predicted model, not a curated record.